Molecule: unclassified non-coding RNA, 825 nt
Filed under: Hevea brasiliensis (rubber tree)
Lineage: Eukaryota; Viridiplantae; Streptophyta; Magnoliopsida; Malpighiales; Euphorbiaceae
Source: RNAcentral
GCCAGCUCUUUUUAGCACCCCUCCUUCUCUAUACUUGAGUGGGAAAAUGUGUCCAGGUCGAUUGAAAUCCUCGGGUUUUGAAUCAGCAGAUGCUAGAGCCAAAACUGUUUUUGCCCUAUCAUGUGCAGAUACACCUGUUGUGGUACCAUAUUUUGCAUCCACAGACACAGUGAAAGCAGUACUGAGUUUCUCCUCAUUUUCCUUUGGUGGCACCAUUAGUGGAAGUUGAAGCCUGUCUAGAUCUUCACCUUUCAUACUCACGCACACAAUUCCAGUUCCAUGUUUUACAAUGAAGGCCAUUGCUUCAGGUGUCACCAAUUGUGCUGCCAUUAUUAAAUCACCCUCAUUUUCUCGGUCUUCAUCAUCUACGACAAUUACCAUCUUGCCCUGACGAAUAUCCUCAAUAGCUUCCGGAAUAGAAGAGAAUCCUUCAACGGCAUGAUCCAAGUCAAAUUCAUCAACACCAGAGAGAAACCCACUGUUUGGAGUUAUUACGGUAGCAGGUGUUUCAAAAGCUGUUUCACCAGGUUGUUGCUUAAUUAUAGUUUGUUCGGCUCCAUGAUUAACAAAAGAACCUCUUUCUGCACCUUGGUUGUUAAAACAAGACAAAAUAUCAUCUUCUCCUGAUAAUAAUGUAGCCCGUAGUAAUCCUCUUCCACUUUUGAAGCUGAAGGGAAACUUUCUAGUAAAACUUAGCGAGGACAAAUCUGAUUUAUAGUUUGUCGUUGUUGGAUUGAUGAAAUACAGACCAUGGUCGGAUCUCAAAUGAGAAAAAACCAUUGAAUUUUGAAUUGAAGCCAUUAUUAUGCUGACCCAAUUUGAGUA